This 241-nucleotide ribosomal RNA is filed under the name uncultured bacterium. RNAcentral describes it as "partial 16S ribosomal RNA". It matches the Rfam family "Bacterial small subunit ribosomal RNA", at positions 15 to 245 of the family's 1533-position model. The record is from RNAcentral.
GAUCAUGGCUCAGGAUGAACGCUAGCUACAGGCUUAACACAUGCAAGUCGGAGGGGCAGCAUUUCAGUUUGCUUGCAAACUGGAGAUGGCGACCGGCGCACGGGUGAGUAACACGUGUCCAACCUGCCGAUAACUCGGGGAUAGCCUUUCGAAAGAAAGAUUAAUACCCGAUGGUAUAAUCAGACCGCAUGGUCUUGUUAUUAAAGAAUUUCGGUUAUCGAUGGGGAUGCGUUCCAUUAGG